AUACAUGCAAGUCGAGCGGACAGAUGGGAGCUUGCUCCCUGAUGUUAGCGGCGGACGGGUGAGUAACACGUGGGUAACCUGCCUGUAAGACUGGGAUAACUCCGGGAAACCGGGGCUAAUACCGGAUGGUUGUUUGAACCGCAUGGUUCAGACAUAAAAGGUGGCUUCGGCUACCACUUACAGAUGGACCCGCGGCGCAUUAGCUAGUUGGUGAGGUAACGGCUCACCAAGGCGACGAUGCGUAGCCGACCUGAGAGGGUGAUCGGCCACACUGGGACUGAGACACGGCCCAGACUCCUACGGGAGGCAGCAGUAGGGAAUCUUCCGCAAUGGACGAAAGUCUGACGGAGCAACGCCGCGUGAGUGAUGAAGGUUUUCGGAUCGUAAAGCUCUGUUGUUAGGGAAGAACAAGUGCCGUUCAAAUAGGGCGGCACCUUGACGGUACCUAACCAGAAAGCCACGGCUAACUACGUGCCAGCAGCCGCGGUAAUACGUAGGUGGCAAGCGUUGUCCGGAAUUAUUGGGCGUAAAGGGCUCGCAGGCGGUUUCUUAAGUCUGAUGUGAAAGCCCCCGGCUCAACCGGGGAGGGUCAUUGGAAACUGGGGAACUUGAGUGCAGAAGAGGAGAGUGGAAUUCCACGUGUAGCGGUGAAAUGCGUAGAGAUGUGGAGGAACACCAGUGGCGAAGGCGACUCUCUGGUCUGUAACUGACGCUGAG
Molecule: ribosomal RNA, 717 nt
Filed under: Bacillus subtilis
Lineage: Bacteria; Bacillati; Bacillota; Bacilli; Caryophanales; Bacillaceae
Description: bacterial SSU rRNA
Rfam family: Bacterial small subunit ribosomal RNA
Source: RNAcentral